GACGAACGCUGGCGGCGUGCUUAACACAUGCAAGUCGAACGGAAAGGCCCUGCUUUUGUGGGGUGCUCGAGUGGCGAACGGGUGAGUAACACGUGAGUAACCUGCCCUUGACUUUGGGAUAACUUCAGGAAACUGGGGCUAAUACCGGAUAGGAGCUCCUGCUGCAUGGUGGGGGUUGGAAAGUUUCGGCGGUUGGGGAUGGGCUCGCGGCUUAUCAGCUUGUUGGUGGGGUAGUGGCUUACCAAGGCUUUGACGGGUAGCCGGCCUGAGAGGGUGACCGGCCACAUUGGGACUGAGAUACGGCCCAGACUCCUACGGGAGGCAGCAGUGGGGAAUAUUGCACAAUGGGCGGAAGCCUGAUGCAGCAACGCCGCGUGCGGGAUGACGGCCCUCGGGUUGUAAACCGCUUUCGCCUGUGACGAAGCGUGAGUGACGGUAAUGGGUAAAGAAGCACCGGCUAACUACGUG
This 468-nucleotide ribosomal RNA is filed under the name uncultured bacterium. Its description in RNAcentral is "partial 16S ribosomal RNA". It matches the Rfam family "Bacterial small subunit ribosomal RNA", at positions 28 to 507 of the family's 1533-position model. The record is from RNAcentral.